GACGUAGGGGGCGAGCGUUGUCCGGAUUUAUUGGGCGUAAAGCGUGCGUAGGCGGUCUGUCGCGUCGGCUGUGAAAUCCCGAGGCUCAACCUCGGGUCUGCAGUCGAUACGGGCAAACUAGAGUAUUGCAGGGGAGACUGGAAUUCCUGGUGUAGCGGUGAAAUGCGCAGAUAUCAGGAGGAACACCGGUGGCGAAGGCGGAUCUCUGGGCCUUACCUGACGCUCAGGCGCGAAAGCUAGGGGAGCGAACAGG
Molecule: ribosomal RNA, 253 nt
Filed under: uncultured bacterium
Lineage: Bacteria
Description: partial 16S ribosomal RNA
Rfam family: Bacterial small subunit ribosomal RNA
Source: RNAcentral